This 664-nucleotide ribosomal RNA is filed under the name Microbacterium thalassium. Its description in RNAcentral is "bacterial SSU rRNA". It matches the Rfam family "Bacterial small subunit ribosomal RNA", at positions 54 to 730 of the family's 1533-position model. The record is from RNAcentral. Lineage: Bacteria; Bacillati; Actinomycetota; Actinomycetes; Micrococcales; Microbacteriaceae.
CAUGCAAGUCGAACGGUGAAGCAGAGCUUGCUCUGUGGAUCAGUGGCGAACGGGUGAGUAACACGUGAGCAACCUGCCCCGGACUCUGGGAUAAGCGCUGGAAACGGCGUCUAAUACUGGAUACGAGACGUGAUCGCAUGGUCAACGUCUGGAAAGAUUUUUCGGUCUGGGAUGGGCUCGCGGCCUAUCAGCUUGUUGGUGAGGUAAUGGCUCACCAAGGCGUCGACGGGUAGCCGGCCUGAGAGGGUGACCGGCCACACUGGGACUGAGACACGGCCCAGACUCCUACGGGAGGCAGCAGUGGGGAAUAUUGCACAAUGGGCGGAAGCCUGAUGCAGCAACGCCGCGUGAGGGAUGACGGCCUUCGGGUUGUAAACCUCUUUUAGCAGGGAAGAAGCGAAAGUGACGGUACCUGCAGAAAAAGCGCCGGCUAACUACGUGCCAGCAGCCGCGGUAAUACGUAGGGCGCAAGCGUUAUCCGGAAUUAUUGGGCGUAAAGAGCUCGUAGGCGGUCUGUCGCGUCUGCUGUGAAAACCCGAGGCUCAACCUCGGGCCUGCAGUGGGUACGGGCAGACUAGAGUGCGGUAGGGGAGAUUGGAAUUCCUGGUGUAGCGGUGGAAUGCGCAGAUAUCAGGAGGAACACCGAUGGCGAAGGCAGAUCUCU